AGCUAACUGAAUCCUAAUCCACCAAGGGAAGGUGUGCCAGAAGAAAGUAAUUCAACAACGUGGGUUGAUAAACCAUAAGACGUGUGGCCAGAACCCCCCG
Long non-coding RNA from Octopus sinensis (East Asian common octopus), 100 nucleotides. RefSeq lists it as uncharacterized. The record is from RefSeq and is a predicted model, not a curated record. Lineage: Eukaryota; Metazoa; Mollusca; Cephalopoda; Octopoda; Octopodidae. The transcript has 3 exons.